RNAcentral lists this ribosomal RNA (1251 nucleotides) under Urochela caudata. RNAcentral's name for it is "16S ribosomal RNA". The stretch from base 1027 to 1185 matches the Rfam family "Bacterial large subunit ribosomal RNA", at positions 2473 to 2632 of the family's 2925-position model. Lineage: Eukaryota; Metazoa; Arthropoda; Insecta; Hemiptera; Urostylididae. The record is from RNAcentral.
UAUAUUUUAUUUUAAUUUUUAAAUUUAGUUAAUAUUGAUAUUAAUAAAAAUAAUUUUUAUUUUAGUAAAUUUUAUUGAAUAAAUAAAAUUGUAUUUAUAGCUUAAAGUACUGUGAAGGAAUCUUAUAUUUACUUCUAUAAGGAGAUUAUAUAAUUGUACCUUUUGUAUCAGGGUUUACUUAAUUAAAACAAUUAUGAUUUGUUAAUCCCGAAAUUAUAAGAGAUAAAUAUUAGAUUAAUUUAAUGUUAUAUAUUUAUUUAUUACUAAUAUUUAGGAGUUAUAUGCUAUUCAUUUGUAAAUAUCUGGUUCUUUAAGAAUUGAAUUCAAUUCAUCUAUAAUACAUUUAUAAUAAUAAAUUUAUUUUUUAUUAUUUUUAUAGUAAUAUAUAGGGGGAUAAGCUCUUAUAUAUCUUUAUAAAUAUUAAAGAUAUUAAAUUAGGUAGGAUUAAUAAUUUCUUUCAUUUAUUUUGUUAAAAUUAUAUUUAUCUUAAGUUAAUAUUUAAUGUUAUUUUAAUUUUUUAUUAAAGUAUAUUUAUUUAAUUUAAAAUUAAUAAAAAAAAUGGUAAAAUCAGUAUAAAUAAUUAUUAUAUAAAUAGUAACUCGGCAAUUAUAAUAUUCACCUGUUUAACAAAAACAUGUCCUAAUGGAAUAUAUAUAUUAGGUCAAGCCUGCUCAGUGAUUUAUUUAAACAGCUGCAGUAAUUUGACUGUGCAAAGGUAGCAUAAUCAUUUGUCUUUUAAUUGAAGGCUGGUAUGAAUGGUUUAAUGAAAUAUUUACUUUCUUUUUAUAUUAUUUUUGAAUUUUAUUUUUGUGUGAAAAAGCAUAAAUGUUUUUGUAGGACGAGAAGACCCUAUAGAAUUUUAAUUAAAUAUAAAUUAUUAUUAUUUUUGAAUAUUAUAAAUUAAUAAGAUAUAUUAUAUUUUUGUUGGGGUGACAAAAAAAUACUAAUAACUUUUUUUAUUAAUUAUUUACUAAUGAGUAUAUAAAUGAUCCUAUUUUUUAGAUUAAAAGAUUAAAUUACCUUAGGGAUAACAGCGUAAUUUUAUUGGAGAGUUCUUAUCGAUAAUAUAGUUUGCGACCUCGAUGUUGGAUUAAAAUUAGGAUUUGGUGUAGAAGCUAUUUUUCUAGGUCUGUUCGACCUUUAAAAUUUUACAUGAUCUGAGUUCAGACCGGCGUGAGCCAGGUUGGUUUCUAUCCUCAAUUAUUAUUAUUAUUUUAGUACGAAAGGACCAAAUAUUAUAAAUAUUUUAUA